UACGGAGGGGGCUAGCGUUGUUCGGAAUUACUGGGCGUAAAGCGCGCGUAGGCGGACCGGCAAGUCGGGGGUGAAAGCCCGAGGCUCAACCUCGGAACUGCCUUCGAUACUGCGGGUCUCGAGUCCGGGAGAGGUGAGUGGAAUUCCUAGUGUAGAGGUGAAAUUCGUAGAUAUUAGGAAGAACACCAGUGGCGAAGGCGGCUCACUGGCCCGGUACUGACGCUGAGGCGCGAAAGCGUGGGGAGCAAACAGG
This 253-nucleotide ribosomal RNA is filed under the name uncultured bacterium. RNAcentral describes it as "partial 16S ribosomal RNA". It matches the Rfam family "Bacterial small subunit ribosomal RNA", at positions 524 to 776 of the family's 1533-position model. The record is from RNAcentral.